CGGACGGGUGAGUAACACGUAGGGUGAACUACCCCAAAGAGAGGAAUAACUAUGGGAAACCAUAGCUAACACCUCAGAGUGUUUAAGAGUUUAGACGCCUUAAACUAAAACUACGGUGCUUUGGGAUGUGCCUGCGGGCUAUCAGCUAGUUGGUGGGGUAAAGGCCCACCAAGGCAAAGACGGCUAGGGGACGCGAGAGCGUGAUCCCCCCACAAUGGAACUGAGACACGGUCCAU
This 236-nucleotide ribosomal RNA is filed under the name uncultured bacterium. RNAcentral describes it as "partial 16S ribosomal RNA". It matches the Rfam family "Bacterial small subunit ribosomal RNA", at positions 99 to 334 of the family's 1533-position model. The record is from RNAcentral.